CGGACCGGCGGACGGGUGCGUAACGCGUAUGCAACCUGCCUGACACAGGGGGAUAAUCCGAAGAAAUUUGGUCUAAUACCCCAUAAUACCGAUAUAGGCAUCUAUGUUGGUUGAAAGCUUUGGUGGUGUCAGAUGGGGCAUGCGUUGUAUUAGCUAGUUGGUGAGGUAACGGCUCACCAAGGCGACGAUACAUAGGGGGACUGAGAGGUUAAACCCCCCCACACUGGUACUGAGACACGGACCAGACUCCUACGGGAGGCAGCAUGC
RNAcentral lists this ribosomal RNA (267 nucleotides) under uncultured bacterium. RNAcentral describes it as "partial 16S ribosomal RNA". It matches the Rfam family "Bacterial small subunit ribosomal RNA", at positions 91 to 353 of the family's 1533-position model. The record is from RNAcentral.